RNAcentral lists this ribosomal RNA (119 nucleotides) under Pteropus alecto (black flying fox). The record is from RNAcentral. Lineage: Eukaryota; Metazoa; Chordata; Mammalia; Chiroptera; Pteropodidae.
GUCUACGGUCAUGCCAUCCUGAACAAGCCCAGUCCUAUCUGAUCUCGGAAGCUAAGCAGGGUCGGGCCUGGUUAGUACUUGGAUGGGAGACCACCGAGGAAGACCAGAUGCUGUAGGCA